UGGGGAAUAUUGGACAAUGGGCGCAAGCCUGAUCCAGCCAUGCCGCGUGAGUGAUGAAGGCCCUAGGGUUGUAAAGCUCUUUCACCGGUUAAGAUAAUGACGGUAACCGGAGAAGAAGCCCCGGCUAACUUCGUGUCAGCAGCCGCGGUAAUACGCAGGGGGCUAGCGUUGUUCGGAUUUACUGGGCGUAAAGCGCACGUAGGCGGACUAUUAAGUCAGUGGUGAAAUCCCGGGGCUCAACCCCGGAACUGCCUUUUAUACUGGUAGUCUUGAGUUCGAGAGAGGUGAGUGGAAUUCCGAGUGUAGAGGCGAAAUUCGUAGAUAUUCGGAGGAACACCAGUGGCGAAGGCGGCUCACUGGCUCGAUACUGACGCUGAGGUGCGAAAGCGUGGGGAGCAAACAGG
This 404-nucleotide ribosomal RNA is filed under the name Actinomycetes bacterium. Its description in RNAcentral is "Actinobacteria bacterium partial 16S ribosomal RNA". It matches the Rfam family "Bacterial small subunit ribosomal RNA", at positions 355 to 776 of the family's 1533-position model. Lineage: Bacteria; Bacillati; Actinomycetota; Actinomycetes. The record is from RNAcentral.